Molecule: unclassified non-coding RNA, 309 nt
Filed under: uncultured fungus
Lineage: Eukaryota; Fungi
Description: sequence contains ITS2
Rfam family: 5.8S ribosomal RNA (bases 1-52)
Source: RNAcentral
AACGCACCUUGCGCUCUCUGGUAUUCCGGAGAGCAUGUCUGUUUGAGUGUCAUGAACUCUUCAACCUACCAAUUUCUAGUAAAUCGGAUUAGUGUUUGGAUUCUGAACGCUUGCUGGCCUUUAUUGGCGAAGCUCGUUCGUAAAUAAUUAGCAUCUCAUAUUCGAAAAUCGGAUUGACUCAGUGUAAUAGACUAUUCGCUGAGGACGCUCUUUCGGGAGUGGCCGAGUUUUGUAAAGUAGAAGCUUCUAAUUCUAUUAGUCAACUUUAGAUUAGACCUCAGAUCAGGCAGGAUUACCCGCUGAACUUAA